RNAcentral lists this transfer RNA (66 nucleotides) under Loxopholis percarinatum. Its description in RNAcentral is "tRNA-Phe". Lineage: Eukaryota; Metazoa; Chordata; Lepidosauria; Squamata; Gymnophthalmidae. The record is from RNAcentral.
AUUAUUGUAGCUUACCCAUAUAAAGCACAGCACUGAAAAUGCUGAGACGGAUUUAUCCCAAAAACA